This 1001-nucleotide ribosomal RNA is filed under the name Salmonella enterica. RNAcentral describes it as "partial 23S ribosomal RNA". It matches the Rfam family "Bacterial large subunit ribosomal RNA", at positions 648 to 1566 of the family's 2925-position model. Lineage: Bacteria; Pseudomonadati; Pseudomonadota; Gammaproteobacteria; Enterobacterales; Enterobacteriaceae. The record is from RNAcentral.
AACCGUAUAGGGGAGCCGGAGGGAAACCGAGUCUUAACCGGGCGUUAAGUUGCAGGGUAUAGACCCGAAACCCGGUGAUCUAGCCAUGGGCAGGUUGAAGGUUGGGUAACACUAACUGGAGGACCGAACCGACUAAUGUUGAAAAAUUAGCGGAUGACCUGUGGCUGGGGGUGAAAGGCCAAUCAAACCGGGAGAUAGCUGGUUCUCCCCGAAAGCUAUUUAGGUAGCGCCUCGUGAAUUCAUCUCCGGGGGUAGAGCACUGUUUCGGCUAGGGGGCCAUCCCGGCUUACCAACCCGAUGCAAACUGCGAAUACCGGAGAAUGUUAUCACGGGAGACACACGGCGGGUGCUAACGUCCGUCGUGAAGAGGGAAACAACCCAGACCGCCAGCUAAGGUCCCAAAGUCAUGGUUAAGUGGGAAACGAUGUGGGAAGGCCCAGACAGCCAGGAUGUUGGCUUAGAAGCAGCCAUCAUUUAAAGAAAGCGUAAUAGCUCACUGGUCGAGUCGGCCUGCGCGGAAGAUGUAACGGGGCUAAACCAUGCACCGAAGCUGCGGCAGCGAACGUAUCACCCAAGACAACUUUACGGAGUUGACGAUUGACGGAGCGAAGCGACGUCAAAGCGUUCAUUAAAGUCGAGUUGGCUUAGGGAUACGUUCGUUGGGUAGGGGAGCGUUCUGUAAGCCUGUGAAGGUGUGUCGUGAGGCAUGCUGGAGGUAUCAGAAGUGCGAAUGCUGACAUAAGUAACGAUAAAGCGGGUGAAAAGCCCGCUCGCCGGAAGACCAAGGGUUCCUGUCCAACGUUAAUCGGGGCAGGGUGAGUCGACCCCUAAGGCGAGGCCGAAAGGCGUAGUCGAUGGGAAACGGGUUAAUAUUCCCGUACUUGGUGUUACUGCGAAGGGGGGACGGAGAAGGCUAUGUUGGCCGGGCGACGGUUGUCCCGGUUUAAGCGUGUAGGUGUGUGUUCCAGGUAAAUCCGGUUCACUUUAACACUGAGGCGUGA